Molecule: ribosomal RNA, 2902 nt
Filed under: Escherichia coli 2-011-08_S3_C2
Lineage: Bacteria; Pseudomonadati; Pseudomonadota; Gammaproteobacteria; Enterobacterales; Enterobacteriaceae
Description: bacterial LSU rRNA
Rfam family: Bacterial large subunit ribosomal RNA
Source: RNAcentral
UUAAGCGACUAAGCGUACACGGUGGAUGCCCUGGCAGUCAGAGGCGAUGAAGGACGUGCUAAUCUGCGAUAAGCGUCGGUAAGGUGAUAUGAACCGUUAUAACCGGCGAUUUCCGAAUGGGGAAACCCAGUGUGUUUCGACACACUAUCAUUAACUGAAUCCAUAGGUUAAUGAGGCGAACCGGGGGAACUGAAACAUCUAAGUACCCCGAGGAAAAGAAAUCAACCGAGAUUCCCCCAGUAGCGGCGAGCGAACGGGGAGCAGCCCAGAGCCUGAAUCAGUGUGUGUGUUAGUGGAAGCGUCUGGAAAGGCGCGCGAUACAGGGUGACAGCCCCGUACACAAAAAUGCACAUGCUGUGAGCUCGAUGAGUAGGGCGGGACACGUGGUAUCCUGUCUGAAUAUGGGGGGACCAUCCUCCAAGGCUAAAUACUCCUGACUGACCGAUAGUGAACCAGUACCGUGAGGGAAAGGCGAAAAGAACCCCGGCGAGGGGAGUGAAAAAGAACCUGAAACCGUGUACGUACAAGCAGUGGGAGCACGCUUAGGCGUGUGACUGCGUACCUUUUGUAUAAUGGGUCAGCGACUUAUAUUCUGUAGCAAGGUUAACCGAAUAGGGGAGCCGAAGGGAAACCGAGUCUUAACUGGGCGUUAAGUUGCAGGGUAUAGACCCGAAACCCGGUGAUCUAGCCAUGGGCAGGUUGAAGGUUGGGUAACACUAACUGGAGGACCGAACCGACUAAUGUUGAAAAAUUAGCGGAUGACUUGUGGCUGGGGGUGAAAGGCCAAUCAAACCGGGAGAUAGCUGGUUCUCCCCGAAAGCUAUUUAGGUAGCGCCUCGUGAAUUCAUCUCCGGGGGUAGAGCACUGUUUCGGCAAGGGGGUCAUCCCGACUUACCAACCCGAUGCAAACUGCGAAUACCGGAGAAUGUUAUCACGGGAGACACACGGCGGGUGCUAACGUCCGUCGUGAAGAGGGAAACAACCCAGACCGCCAGCUAAGGUCCCAAAGUCAUGGUUAAGUGGGAAACGAUGUGGGAAGGCCCAGACAGCCAGGAUGUUGGCUUAGAAGCAGCCAUCAUUUAAAGAAAGCGUAAUAGCUCACUGGUCGAGUCGGCCUGCGCGGAAGAUGUAACGGGGCUAAACCAUGCACCGAAGCUGCGGCAGCGACGCUGAUGCGUUGUUGGGUAGGGGAGCGUUCUGUAAGCCUGCGAAGGUGUGCUGUGAGGCAUGCUGGAGGUAUCAGAAGUGCGAAUGCUGACAUAAGUAACGAUAAAGCGGGUGAAAAGCCCGCUCGCCGGAAGACCAAGGGUUCCUGUCCAACGUUAAUCGGGGCAGGGUGAGUCGACCCCUAAGGCGAGGCCGAAAGGCGUAGUCGAUGGGAAACAGGUUAAUAUUCCUGUACUUGGUGUUACUGCGAAGGGGGGACGGAGAAGGCUAUGUUGGCCGGGCGACGGUUGUCCCGGUUUAAGCGUGUAGGCUGGUUUUCCAGGCAAAUCCGGAAAAUCAAGGCUGAGGCGUGAUGACGAGGCACUACGGUGCUGAAGCAACAAAUGCCCUGCUUCCAGGAAAAGCCUCUAAGCAUCAGGUAACAUCAAAUCGUACCCCAAACCGACACAGGUGGUCAGGUAGAGAAUACCAAGGCGCUUGAGAGAACUCGGGUGAAGGAACUAGGCAAAAUGGUGCCGUAACUUCGGGAGAAGGCACGCUGAUAUGUAGGUGAAGUCCCUCGCGGAUGGAGCUGAAAUCAGUCGAAGAUACCAGCUGGCUGCAACUGUUUAUUAAAAACACAGCACUGUGCAAACACGAAAGUGGACGUAUACGGUGUGACGCCUGCCCGGUGCCGGAAGGUUAAUUGAUGGGGUUAGCGCAAGCGAAGCUCUUGAUCGAAGCCCCGGUAAACGGCGGCCGUAACUAUAACGGUCCUAAGGUAGCGAAAUUCCUUGUCGGGUAAGUUCCGACCUGCACGAAUGGCGUAAUGAUGGCCAGGCUGUCUCCACCCGAGACUCAGUGAAAUUGAACUCGCUGUGAAGAUGCAGUGUACCCGCGGCAAGACGGAAAGACCCCGUGAACCUUUACUAUAGCUUGACACUGAACAUUGAGCCUUGAUGUGUAGGAUAGGUGGGAGGCUUAGAAGUGUGGACGCCAGUCUGCAUGGAGCCGACCUUGAAAUACCACCCUUUAAUGUUUGAUGUUCUAACGUUGACCCGUGAUCCGGGUUGCGGACAGUGUCUGGUGGGUAGUUUGACUGGGGCGGUCUCCUCCUAAAGAGUAACGGAGGAGCACGAAGGUUGGCUAAUCCUGGUCGGACAUCAGGAGGUUAGUGCAAUGGCAUAAGCCAGCUUGACUGCGAGCGUGACGGCGCGAGCAGGUGCGAAAGCAGGUCAUAGUGAUCCGGUGGUUCUGAAUGGAAGGGCCAUCGCUCAACGGAUAAAAGGUACUCCGGGGAUAACAGGCUGAUACCGCCCAAGAGUUCAUAUCGACGGCGGUGUUUGGCACCUCGAUGUCGGCUCAUCACAUCCUGGGGCUGAAGUAGGUCCCAAGGGUAUGGCUGUUCGCCAUUUAAAGUGGUACGCGAGCUGGGUUUAGAACGUCGUGAGACAGUUCGGUCCCUAUCUGCCGUGGGCGCUGGAGAACUGAGGGGGGCUGCUCCUAGUACGAGAGGACCGGAGUGGACGCAUCACUGGUGUUCGGGUUGUCAUGCCAAUGGCACUGCCCUGUAGCUAAAUGCGGAAGAGAUAAGUGCUGAAAGCAUCUAAGCACGAAACUUGCCCCGAGAUGAGUUCUCCCUGACUCCUUGAGAGUCCUGAAGGAACGUUGAAGACGACGACGUUGAUAGGCCGGGUGUGUAAGCGCAGCGAUGCGUUGAGCUAACCGGUACUAAUGAACCGUGAGGCUUAACCUU